UACGUAGGGUGCGAGCGUUGUCCGGAUUUAUUGGGCGUAAAGGGCUCGUAGGCGGCCUGUCGCGUCGGGAGUGAAAGCCCACUGCUUAACGGUGGGUCUGCUUCCGGUACGGGCGGGCUGGAGUAUGGCAGGGGAGACUGGAAUUCCUGGUGUAGCGGUGGAAUGCGCAGAUAUCAGGAGGAACACCGGUGGCGAAGGCGGGUCUCUGGCGAUUACUGACGCUGAGGAGCGAAAGCGUGGGGAGCGAACAGG
Molecule: ribosomal RNA, 252 nt
Filed under: uncultured bacterium
Lineage: Bacteria
Description: partial 16S ribosomal RNA
Rfam family: Bacterial small subunit ribosomal RNA
Source: RNAcentral